GAUCCUCCCCCGUCUCAUCCGCGCGCCGCCACCCACCUCGGGGUCCAACCCGAUCCAACCACACACAUCGCGCCGCACGAGUUCUUCCCUCCAUCCCUGAGCCUGUGACCUUCCCAGCCCGAGAGCAUGUGUCCCAUCUCCAUGCGAGCUCGGACGCGUCAAGCGCUCGGAUGAAGAGCCACUCCCGCGACAUCUCCUGCACGCUGGAGCUCCCUGACCAGCAGUGCCGCUGCGCCCGUACUGGCCGGCGACCAACCCACGCAUGCCCCGUCGCGCCCUUCUCUCUUCUUCCUCUCCUCUCACCUCCCCGUCUCUUCUUUCUCCUCCAGGAGGAGAACCAUGGCGCCCGAGAUUCAGGAAGGCCCAUCGUAGCGGGCCCUCGUCUUCAUCAAGAUCCAUCCGGAACUGGUCUGGAGCGGCCGAAUCUGUGUUGCCCCUUGCCUCUCCGCCAUUCGUGCCUCGCGUUGGAGCCUCUCCUUGGCCGAACACGGAGGAGCUGCUGCCUCGCCCGCUGUCAUGGCCGUCCCGAGUUCCCUAGCCGCCGGAGCCAUGCUACAAUACCGACCCCAUGCCCUGAUGCGCUCGAGCUCGAGCAAGGAGACGCUCCCAAGUCUAUCCCCUCCUUCUAGAGACCCUGCAUUGCGCCGGCACUGCCCUGCAUCUCCCGCCUGCCUCGUUUUCCCCUUGUAAGAAGCUCUGUCCGAUCUGAUUUUGUUGCCUUUUUUUUACUAGAUCCGUUGUGGACUGUUAGGUUUAUUAG
Molecule: long non-coding RNA, 760 nt
Filed under: Hordeum vulgare
Lineage: Eukaryota; Viridiplantae; Streptophyta; Magnoliopsida; Poales; Poaceae
Description: long non-coding RNA (HVUL_LNC003222)
Source: RNAcentral